AGAGUUUGUUCCUGGCUCAGAACGAACGCUGGCGGCGCGUCUUAAGCAUGCAAGUCGGGCGGGAUCCAUGCGCUUGCGCAUGGUGAGAGCGGCGGACUGGCGAGUAACACGUGGGCGACGCGCCCUCCGGACGGGAAUAGCCUGUAGAAAUACAGGGUAAUGCCGGAUGCGAACGCGCGCGCUGGAGGCGCGCGUGGAAAGCCCCCACGGGGGCGCCGGAGGAGCGGCCCGCGGCCCAUCAGCUUGUAGGCGGUGCAAGGGACCACCUAGGCUACGACGGGUACCCGGCCUCAGAGGGCGGACGGGCGCAUUGGGACUGAGAUACGGCCCAGACUCCUACGGGAGGCAGCAGCUAAGAAUAUUCCGCAAUGGGGGGAACCCUGACGGAGCGACGCCGCGUGGGCGAGGAAGGCCGGAAGGUUGUAAAGCCCUUUUGCGCGCGAGGAAUAAGGGGAGGAGGGAAUGCCUUCCCGGUGACUGUAGCGCGCGAAUAAGCGCCGGCUAAUUACGUGCCAGCAGCCGCGGUAACACGUAAGGCGCGAGCGUUGUUCGGAAUCAUUGGGCGUAAAGGGCGUGUAGGCGGCCCUGCAAGCCUGGCGUGAAAUCCCGGGGCUCAACCCCGGAACCGCGCUGGGAACUGCUGGGCUGGAGCCGCUGUGGCGCAGCCGGAAUUCCAGGUGUAGGGGUGAAAUCUGUAGAUAUCUGGAAGAACACCGAUGGCGAAGGCAGGCUGCGAGCGGACGGCUGACGCUGAGGCGCGAAGGCGCGGGGAGCGAACAGGAUUAGAUACCCUGGUAGUCCGCGCAGUAAA
Molecule: ribosomal RNA, 811 nt
Filed under: uncultured bacterium
Lineage: Bacteria
Description: bacterial SSU rRNA
Rfam family: Bacterial small subunit ribosomal RNA
Source: RNAcentral